Molecule: ribosomal RNA, 338 nt
Filed under: uncultured bacterium
Lineage: Bacteria
Description: bacterial SSU rRNA
Rfam family: Bacterial small subunit ribosomal RNA
Source: RNAcentral
AUUGAACGCUGGCGGCAGGCUUAACACAUGCAAGUCGGGCGGAAACGAUGGUAGCUUGCUACUAGGCGUCGAGCGGCGAACGGGUAAGUAACGCGUAGGAAUCUACCUAGUAGAGGGGGAUAGCCCGGGGAAACUCGGAUUAAUACCGCAUACGCCUACGGGGAAAGGACAGGGGAGUUUUCGGUACCUUGCGCUAUUAGAUGAGCCUGCGUCGGAUUAGCUAGUUGGUAGGGUAAAGGACCUACCAAGGCGACGAUCCGUAGCUGGUCUGAGAGGAUGAUCAGCCACACUGGAACUGAGACACGGUCCAGACUCCUACGGGAGGCAGCAGUGGGGAA